AUCUAUUUCGGGCAGAACCUGCGCAUGUGCAAGGCUUCACAACACCAACCUCGCUCCAGCGGCAAGAUCACAAACAUGAUUGGUACAAUGUAUUCAUAACACAUCACAUGAUUGGUACAAUGCUGUUGAGAUGUGCA
Long non-coding RNA from Alosa sapidissima (American shad), 137 nucleotides. RefSeq lists it as uncharacterized. Lineage: Eukaryota; Metazoa; Chordata; Actinopteri; Clupeiformes; Clupeidae. The record is from RefSeq and is a predicted model, not a curated record. The transcript is spliced from 3 exons.